GUUAAGGCAGUUCUGACUUUUAUCAUAUGGGCUGUAGACUUGUAUCCUGAAUUUCUUCAACAUUGUGAAUGAGAGUCCCCUGAGUUGUCACAUUAGAGAAUUUUGUUAAUUAUUUUUAGACUUUGAUUAACUUAUCUCUUUGAAAAGUUCCUUAGCUCUUGAAACCACUUAGCUCGGUUAUUCCCAAUUACUCCUAUUACCAACUUGCUCCAGAACUUAAUUCCUCGGAAGGCUACAAAUCUUCUAAUUACAGCCUAAACGUAUUUCAUUAUACACACUUAUUCUUGUGUCACCAUUGACCUUCAGUAUAAACAGGUUUCAUCUGACCCUGAGGUAUUUGUAGGCAAUUUUUAAGCUGUGUUGAACGAGGGCAUGGAAGAAUGAUAUUCUGCAAAUCCUUUUCAAUAACCUGUUAUUGCAGGGGGAUUUGAUGGCUUGUGGUCCUUCACGCUUGUAUUGUGGGCAGUGAUUUCACCUGUAAAUGCCUUCAUUGAGUUGAUGAAUUCAUUAAACCUGGUAGUUUCAUAUGCCUUUCCUACAGUUCCAGGAAAAGAAAUACCAUUGUAUAAUAUUACAGAACGGUUCAGGUUGGAAGGGACCUCAGGAAGUGUAUCUCUAGGUUGACUUCCUACUCAAAACAAGGUCAGCUGUGAGAUCAAAUGAGAUUGCUUAGGGCUUUAAUCAGUCAGGUCUUGAAAACACCCAGGGAUGCAGAAGCAUAGUCUGUGCAACCUGCUCCAAUGUUUCUGUCCUCUUGUGGGUGUGGGGAGGCUGCUGCUUGGUCCCUCUGAAGCUGUAUCUUCUUCAGGCUGAAUGCUGACUUCAUUCUAGUUUGUUGAUGUCUUCAUUAUAUUGGGAAAAUGAAAAAUUUGUGGUAUACUAAAUGUGAUCUAACAAGUAAAGGGGGCUGGUCUAGCCUGUGGUACUGUUAGAGCAUACUGCUGGCUUGUGUUCAGCUCACAGUUUGCUAAAACCCUCUGAUCUUCUCCCACCGAACUGCUCCUCGGCCAGUCAGUUCCCAGCCUGUAUCACUGCAAGGGUUUUUUCCCUUCUAAAGUGCUGGACUUCACAUUUGUCCUUGUUGAACUUCAUGAGAUUCCUGUCAGCACAUUCCUCUAGCCUGUCUAGAUCCAUCAGAAUGGUAACCCUGCCAUUAAGCAUACCAAUUUAUUUCUCCUCCAGUUUGAUGUCAUCUGUGACCUUUGUGAAUAAGUACUACAUUGCCUCCUUCAGGAAACUGAUAAAGAUUUUAAGCAGGACAUACCCGCAAGUAGAACCCUUUGGCACUUCAGUUGUUAUUGGCCUGCUGUCAGAAUAUGCCCUAUUAACCACAACCCUCCAAAUCUGACCUUCCCAUGAGGUUAUUACUUAUUUGAUUAUUCAUCCAUCCGGAAGGUAAUGUUCUAAUUUGGAUACAGAAAGAUGUCAGGAGAGAAUGUCAAUAUGCUUGCUGAAGUCAAGGUAAAUGAGAUCUUUUGCUCUUCCUUCCUAUACACAUCCAUGCAUUUACUCAUGGAAGACAAACUGUUUGGUCAGGCAUGGCUUGCCUUUCUUCAGUUCAUAGUGAUUGCCUCCAUUCAGCACCUUCUCUGUGCACUCAGAAAUGUGUUCCAGGAACCUUUGCUCCAUGACUUCCCUGGAGUCUGAAGUGAGACUAACCAUAUUUUUGACACCUUUUUAAAAUGUGUUCAAUUUUUGCCUUUUUUUUUUCCUCUCCAGUCAUUGAGGAUCUCUGCCAGUCUCUAUAAACUCAAAAAAUGUUAGGCAGCCUUACAAGGGCCUUGCAAUCAUUUCUUGGCAUCCUAGGGGACAGCGUUUUUGGUUCCAUAGAACUCUCUAAGUGUCUCGUUCCUUCAAGCAAUUCCUGACUCAGUCUUUACCCACUGUUGCUGAUUUGUUUUCUGUUUAGACUCUUUUUCUAAGCACAGAAGCUUCAGAGAUGUUUCUGAUGAAGACAGGAUCAGAAAUCAUUAAGUAUCUCAGACUUAUCUGUGUCUCUAGUUAUUAAAUUUUCUAUCCCAUUCAGCAGUGGUCACAAAUUUUCCUUGUUAAGUGCUUCUAGUGUUAAUGCAUUUGUGACCUUUUCGGUUGGGUUUUUUGUUGUUGUUGUUUUUUACUUAAUCUUACAACCUCUAAUUAACAUGAAGUAUAUAUUUAGAAAGACACUCUAAAUUGGUGUCCUUUUCUAUUCAGGUUUUAAAGGAAGACAAAACUAGAGAUGUAGUAAAUGUUUCAGUGUGGAAAAGAUGAAUUCUGCUCUGUCUUUUGCAUAUUCCUGUUCUAUAACUAGUGAAAUAGAGACAUGAUCUUAAAGUUUUUCUGUACAAUUUAACUUGUGAGCAGAUGUUCAGAAAGACUUCAGAAAAUAUAAUUAUUAAGACAAGUUAAAUCUUAGAUUUUCUUUCUUCCAUCAAAAUCUUCAAAAAAAGAUUUUAUUUGUGCCUAUUCUAUAAAAAGAAAAAGAGGAAAGAGAAUUAAGGGUUUAGCUUGAAUUAGCUGGAAACUUGACUUUCACAAAUAAAUCCAGCCUUGGUCUAGUUUAAAGAAAGGAUCAAGUCCUACAUGGUUGUGAGAAAUCAGGAAACAGAAAUGUGUAAACAACUGCAUAAAAGUUUUAAAGAAAAAAAAAUAACAUUUCUGCAAAAUUGGCAUAGUUAUAGUGAAAUGUUAAGUGAAAAUCCUAAAUUGCUUCAUCUUUUGUUUUUUGUAGUGAUAUGUGUAUCCUAGAGGUUUUUUUGAAUGUCUCCAAAAACACAAUUCAGUUCUUCUAAAGUAGUGGUGAUGAGUUCUAAUUGCUUUUAAAUUACUUAUUUAGCCCAAGAAAGUUGGGGCUCACCAACAUAUGGAACAGAAAUAAAAUGUUAACCACAUGUCUGAGAUGCUGGACGACUACCUGGGAGAAAUGAAAAACUGCAGAGCUCAACUAAUAGCGAUUGUCAACAGAGGCAGCGGUUUCCAGGCUCUGUUUUUUUUUGUUGUUGUUGUUGUUUGCUUGUUUGUUUGCUUGCUUGCUUUUGACAUCUUUGAUUUUUCUUGAGGUUUUGGGGUCUGCGACUUCCUGGGAAUCCUCCAAGGAUCAGGAAGGUGGCAGCUGCUGCUAGAUGGUCAGCUGCCUUCCAGAGGAACCUAAACAGGAUGGGUUGACAGGAACCUCAUGAAGUCCAACAAGGAGAAAUUCAAAGACCUGCUCCUGGAGAGGAAUAGCUCCAGGUACCAAUAUGCACUGGGAGCAAUCCAGCUGGAAAGCAACUCUGCAGAAAAGGCACUGAAUGUCCUCUUGGACACCAAGUUGAAUGUGGGCCAGCCACGUGUGCUUGCUGCAAAGGAGGAUAACAGCAUUCUUGGCUGCAUUAGGCAGUGUUGCCUGAUAAUGCCAUGCUGGGUCCAUUUUUAUGCUCUGGAGUACAAGAAAGACAUAGACACACUAGAGACUGUCUCAUUGACUGGCCACAGAAAUGAUUAGAUUACUGGAGCACCUAGAAUCAUAGUGUCAUAGAAUCGCUAAGGUUGGAAAAGACCCACAGAAUCAUCCAGUCCAACCAUUCGCCUAUCACCAAUGGUUCUCAUUAUACUAUGUCCCUCAACACAGCAUGCAAACGUUCCUUGAACACCUCCAGGGUCGGUGACUCCACCACCUCUCUGGGCAGCUCUCUGUGAGGGGAGACUGAGAGCUGUGUCCAUUCAGACUAGAGAAGACUCAGAGUGAAUCUCAAAACCUUCCUAAGCGGAGGCUUGGGCAAGCAGCUCUGAGUAUCCCUGUCUGAGCCAGAGGAGUUGGACCAGAUGGACCCAGAGGUCCCAGCCAAGCACAACCACUCUGUGAUAGGGAAAGUGAAAAAGAGAGAGUUCUGACUUGUUCUGGACCUGUCACUUUUAGGUUUCAAACAACUAUACAUAAUGAAACAUACACAAUAGAAAUUCUUUCCCUAUGAGGUUAUCUAAUGGAUAUCAUCUUCUAAUUUAGAAUCUUCUAGUGAAGAUGUCUCCAUUUUUGCAAAUUAAAAAUAGCUGAGACAGGCAGCUUAAUAGGAGGUCUAGCAAAAGUGAAGCUAAUGAUAGAAGUAGGCUUCUUGUUCUUCUGUUAAGGCAUAGCAUAUUAGUGCUCAGAAUUAGAACCAUCAUCUCCUUAAUUACCAUCACUCAAGGAACAUUGGUAGGACAAUGCUUAGUAUGUAAUAAUAAGAGGUCUCUGCUUUGUGUUAAACUGAAGAGCAGGGGUUAAACCUUUCUUUUUCAGUAAGAGGGAUUUGCAGUGAGACUGUAUGGCAGAGAGUACCUGGCUCUACAUCAUACCGUGUAAUAUUUCUUACUGUAACUAUUUGGUGUAAUAUUUCUUGUUUUCUUUUUUCCUAUUAAAAUAUUAGGAAAAUCCAAAAAUAGGCUAUAGAAAGUAUUUUAAAGAAAGCAAAAAUAUGGAUAUAAUUGAGUUAGAAUGCAACUUUGAUCAUACCUCCCCUAAACUUAGCUGACCUGAUGCUCUUACUGUGAAUUUUCUCUGAUAUUUUCCACAUAUGAAGGAUGAUUGUCACUCAAGAGAAUGUAACUGUGCUAGCUGAUAUUGGUGUUUCCUGUCAACCUGCUGACAUACCUUGACAAUGUGUCUCUCUGACUGGUUGUCAAACCCCAGUGUGAGCAUAAAGGCAGGUGAAGAGUAGAGUAUACAUGACACUAGCUCAGAUAGUAGUAACCAAACCUGGGGAAGAAAAGUUUGCUUAUUAUGCUAUUACCUGUCUGAAUCUUUAAAAUGCUGUUUAGAGUACAUUAAAGUAGGAUAGGGAAGCCAUCUGCUGACAGUGGUACGAUAUGUGAUACAGUAGGACCCAAAAACAAAGCAGUCCAAUGCUCUCAGCAAAAUCUCUGCGUUAGCUGCAUGUAUUUCCAGUGUAGAAUAGAAAUGAAUGUCCUGGGCAACAUCAGGAGCAGAGCCUGCCUUAGGCACAAGUUUAACAAAGUCUGAUGAGCAUUGACUUGGCAACAGAGAAGCUGGACUGAUGUCUCUAUUCCUGGCAGCAGGACCUGAGGAACAGGCAGCUCCUAGCAUGCUCUCCAAACUGCCUCCAGAGAAACUUGGAACUGUACAAAUCAUAAAGCCAGGCAUUCCCUGAAGUGCCCAUUUAAUGAAAAAUAAAUGUUCUUUUCCUCCAGGACUUGUUCUCAAUGAGCAUGCUUUAGUGCUAGUUGUUACUUGCAGGAACAGUACCAUAUAUCUGUUUAUCUCAUAAAACUUGAAAUAGACUGUGCUGGUCACAGAGUAAUCUGAAAGUCUGGAAUAUCUUAUUUUCUAUUAGAUGCCAAUGUCAGUUUAAGUGCAUUACUUCUCUAUUUUCCUUUGGACUGCACAAUCACAGCAUCACCUGAGGACUUAUGCAAGACUAAAUUUUAAAAGUCUAUAUUUAUUAGGAUUUUUUUUUUGUCUUGUUCCUCCAGAUGCUUUGUCGAAUGCACUGAAUAUGAAAGUUGUUAGCAUAUUUGAAACUUUCCUUUGUAUGUGAAUUUAAACAAUGAGUUCAUUUAUUAUGAGCUAUGUUAUGCUGUAAGAUAAAUAACCCAAAAUGCAAUAUAAAGUCAACAUCUAUAUGUGAUUAAUUGAAGGAGUUAUGGAGGAGAAAACUCAGCUGUGCUUGACAAAUUCAAAAAGUAUUCUCCAUUUAUCUAAUGCUGAGUAAUACAUAAUGAAUAAGAUCAAAUUAUAAUGCCACGGUUCAUUGGGAGCGGUUGAUGAAGAUUGCUAUUCAUUCGCCUAAGGCCCAUCAGUUAAUAUUUACAUUGUUGGAGAAAUGCAUGACUUAAAGCCUAGCUGUGCUUCCCUUUUCAAAGAAGACGUAGAGCAUAGUUAUAGAUAUCUUAGCACAGGUACCUGGCCUUAGAAUAUGCAGAAACAUGUUACCUGCAUAAUAACUAGAUCACUUAAGGAUACACUUUUGCCUUCUUUAGCUAAUUAUAUUGGUAGAAAGACUCCUGUUGCAAAGAUUGAUGAUUAUUUGAAGAUGAUUAUACCUACUGUAGGCUUUCCUUUUCCCUAAUGGAAACAGAUUAGUGUAAACACUGUGACUGCAUGAGUACAGUCAAAGCUGAAUUAUUUUUAUGUCCUUGGGCCACGUGUCCAUGUGCACUGUCAAAUGAGCAAUGGAAAGACCUGCUCUUGAGGGCAUGUUGGACAGUAUUAGAAAUAGGCUGACUCAUCAGCUACAGGAGGUGUUAGAAAUUAUCCUGCCCUGAGAAUGCGGGCAUGACUACCUCUGCCCCGUGGAAAAAUAGGUGCCCAUGCUGCUCUACAUUCUUCAUUACUCUAGCGACACAAAAAUUAAUGUAGUAUUUUUGCAGUGAAAAGCACUUCACUCCUUAUUUGUUUGGCUAUGGGAUAACAACAGAACAGAAGAAUAGCAAACCUAUCUGUCUUGUUCCAUCCACACUGUGUUUCCUCACGUGGAUUGUACUAACCUAGUAUGACGCUGUUUUAAAACUUCUGUAUGGGCAAGCGAUCCUGUUGUCAAUAGUUUGCUGAGCUCAAGUCUUUUACUUUCUAACUCUAAUGAUUUUCCAUUGCAAUUUGGCCAUAAAUUGGCAUUAAAAAGGAAUGAAUGUUGGCAGUAUUUCACUCACUGUCUGGCUGAAAAAUUACUUUUACUGUAGCAAUUAAUGGUACAUCUAGAGCUAUGAGACCAGAAAUGUUCAUCCCUCUGCGCUCUCUCAGUGUAUGAUUUGUUACCCAGCUUCUGUACAUCACCUUUGCAUACUUUCUGCAUUUUUCUCAGUCAUUUACAGUUAUCCAGAUUUACAUUAAUGGAUUUAAAUGUUCUUUUGAAACCAUGCAGAAUUGGAGUUGAGGAUUAAUUUUUGCACUUGAAAAAUAUUUUAGGGUUCUACAAAGCAGCACAAAAUAUUGACUACCUGGAACACUGUGCCAAGACAUUAAAGAUAUUUUCUUUAAUGCUAGGUAACUGUUACUGUAUGUAAAUAAGAAGGGUAUAUUGUAUGAUAUAAUAAAUAAUAAAAAUGAAUGUUACACUUGCACAUAGGCGUCCAUAUGAAAACCAGUUUUAAAAUUCUACAAACAUAUUGUUGAAAUCAAAAUUUCUGACAUAAGAAUAAAAGUUGUUUCAGAAAUAAUGUUUGUCAUAGUAAUUGUAUUCAGUUAUAAUGUUAUUUUUACUCUAUUUUGAUUCUCAUCUUUUGAAUUCUCUCUUACAGCGGCUAUGAGAAUCCCAAUAGUAUAUAUCAUUCUUACCUUUCUCUAUAUAAUAAGAAUUAUUUGCAUGCUGAUAUUCUUAAAUUUCAGGCUAAAAUCAGUUGAAUGCAGUAGGGUAUGCUGAAACAGUAAUGAUAAAUUCUCUUAUUCCUGUAGUAAAAUAGAGUUUGAUUGUGGAAACAAAAUCUAAGUGGCUUUUGCACUGCUUAGCUGGUCAGCUUGAAUGACAGGAGUGCUGGACUGUGUAUGCUGAACUAGGUUAGCUCAAAGUUCACACUUCUGUGAUGCAGCAGCAAGUGAAUAACUUCAUUUUCCCUAAAUAAAUCCUAUAUUGUGCUUGUCUCAACAUCCAUGCCUUUUCCGCUCUUUAAAAUUUAUGUUCUAAUGAAACACCUGAAGCUUCUUAUUUGUGCUGUGCUCAAAGCAUUGUGGAAGGGAAUGUUGACAAAUAGGAUGAACAAAUUUAAGAAAUACCAAAAUAUUUUACCUCUAUUUUUUUUUUCUAAAAAAAUCCCAAUAUUUAAAAUGACCACUAAUAAUAGGGGAAGCACUUCAACAAUUUCUUUUUAAACAUUUAAUUAAGGAGAGCUUAAACUAAAUGUUUAAGCAGAAUUUCAUAUUUUUUUCCCCAGAGAUACAUGGGAAAUUGAACAAACAUUCAUCUGCAUUCUUGAUAACCACUCUCUGCCGGUACCUUUCAAAAAGCUAGAAUAAACAAAAAGGAAUGAAAAUACUGAAUAUAUAUGUUUAUGUGUGCAUUGCUUACUGCUACAAAGUACUGUUCCCAAGAACUGGAAAGGAAUCUUGUUUUUUCUUUUUAACACCCCCUGGAACAGCUGAAUCAAGCUCACAGCAAAGUGUUCUGCUGAUAGGGUAAAUUAUUUUCUUCACGUGGUUAGGAUUCCAUUCUUUGGAAGCUUUUGCACCAAAACUUCACCUCUAAAUGCCUCUUACUUCCCUAUGGACUGGACCAUCUCA
Long non-coding RNA from Gallus gallus (chicken), 8167 nucleotides. The record is from Ensembl. Lineage: Eukaryota; Metazoa; Chordata; Aves; Galliformes; Phasianidae.